AAUGAACGCUGGCGGCAUGCCUAACACAUGCAAGUCGAACGAAGGCUUCGGCCUUAGUGGCGCACGGGUGCGUAACGCGUGGGAAUCUGCCCUUGGGUUCGGAAUAACAGUUAGAAAUGACUGCUAAUACCGGAUGAUGUCGUAAGACCAAAGAUUUAUCGCCCAAGGAUGAGCCCGCGUAGGAUUAGCUAGUUGGUGGGUAAAGGCCUACCAAGGCGACGAUCCUUAGCUGGUCUGAGAGGAUGAUCAGCCACACUGGGACUGAGACACGGCCCAGACUCCUACGGGAGGCAGCAGUGGGGAAUAUUGGACAAUGGGCGAAAGCCUGAUCCAGCAAUGCCGCGUGAGUGAUGAAGGCCUUAGGGUUGUAAAGCUCUUUUACCCGGGAUGAUAAUGACAGUACCGGGAGAAUAAGCUCCGGCUAACUUCGUG
This 432-nucleotide ribosomal RNA is filed under the name uncultured bacterium. RNAcentral's name for it is "partial 16S ribosomal RNA". It matches the Rfam family "Bacterial small subunit ribosomal RNA", at positions 29 to 507 of the family's 1533-position model. The record is from RNAcentral.